Molecule: non-coding RNA, 758 nt
Organism: Drosophila kikkawai
Lineage: Eukaryota; Metazoa; Arthropoda; Insecta; Diptera; Drosophilidae
Source: RefSeq, a predicted model, not a curated record
GUUCUAAAAAAGUGACUGGAAGAAGAAAAAUCAAGUCAAGGAAAGGAAACUACAACUUCUUGGGGGCCCCCCGAAGGCAGUCGGCAGUCGGCAGUCGAUACCCAAGUGGAAGUCAAAGUCAGAACGACUCCACCCCCGUACCCUGGAACCCGGAACCCCCAUGGAAACUCAGCAUAACCGAGGAGCUGGAGGAACCACAAAGGCAACAUGUUGCACAUGCACUCGCCAAAAGCAAUUUGCAUACAAAUGUUGCCAACGCACUUCACAAAACUGCACAAUCACAGUGACGCUCAGUGCAUUGAUGGCUAUAGGGUUAGCGGGGGACGCUGCAGCACCGGAUGAGGGUAAAACGCCGCUUCAUAAUUUGAUAUUAAACAUGCACGCGUCUCUGUUCCUCUCCUUUUUCCUCUCAUGUGUGUGUACAGCUUGUAAAUUUGCAAAUUGCUAAAAUGCAUGAAAGGAACAAAGGAGAUGAGAGGGGCAACAGCAGCCAAACGGGGAUUCUCAGGGCAGCUGCGUGAAUUUGCAUUUACAUGAAGGAACCGUACAGGACAGGAAAGGCCCCUCCAAAAAGUUACCCAAAAAAUUUCAGACUACAAAAAAUAAUAAAACCGAAGUCUGCUCAAUUGACUUUCAAUUGCAAAACAAAUAAAAUACACUGAAGGAAAAGGGGAUUACGUUAAAAUAUAAAAGAAACAACAAUUUUAGAAUAUUAAAUGCAUUAAAUUAUAAAUGAAAUAGCUAUUUCAGAAAACUAA